Molecule: non-coding RNA, 905 nt
Organism: Xyrichtys novacula (pearly razorfish)
Lineage: Eukaryota; Metazoa; Chordata; Actinopteri; Labriformes; Labridae
Source: the annotation of a GenBank genome assembly
AGUGCAAUGAACCAACUCCCGAGUCUCUAGGACGUUCCUAAAAAAAUUUGAUUUUUUCCCAUAGGAAUGCAUGGGUUAGGGUUAGGGUUAGGGUUGGAGCUAGGGUUAGGGUUAGGGUUAGGGUUGGAGUUAGGGUUAGUGUUGGAGCUAAGGUUAGGGUUGGGCUUGAAGCUAGGAUUUUUCUGAGUGCACUGAACCAACUCCCGAGUCUCUAGGACAUUCCUAAAAAAAAUUGAUUUUUUCCCAUAGGAAUGCAUGGGUUAGGGUUAUGGUUAGGGUUAGGGUUGGAGCUAGGGUUAGGGUUAGGGUUAGGGUUGGCGUUAGGGUUAGUGUUGGAGCUAGGGUUAGGGUUGGGCUUGGAGCUAGGAUUUUUCUGAGUGCAAUGAACCAACUCCCGAGUCUCUAGGACGUUCCUAAAAAAAUUUGAUUUUUUCCCAUAGGAAUGCAUGGGUUAGGGUUAGGGUUAGGGUUGGAGCUAGGGUUAGGGUUAGGGUUAGGGUUAGGGUUAGGGUUGGAGUUAGGGUUAGUGUUGGAGCUAGGGUUAGGGUUGGGCUUGGAGCUAGGAUUUUUCUGAGUGCACUGAACCAACUCCCGAGUCUCUAGGACAUUCCUAAAAAAAUUUGAUUUUUUCCCAUAGGAAUGCAUGGGUUAGGGUUAGGGUUAGGGUUGGAGCUAGGGUUAGGGUUAGGGUUAGGGUUGGAGUUAGGGUUAGUGUUGGAGCUAGGGUUAGGGUUGGGCUUGGAGCUAGGAUUUUUCUGAGUGCACUGAACCAACUCCCGAGUCUCUAGGACAUUCCUAAAAAAAAUGGAUUUUUUCCCAUAGGAAUGCAUGGGUUAGGGUUAUGGUUAGGGUUAGGGUUGGAGCUAGGGUUAGGGUUAGGGUUAGGGUUGGAGUUAGGGUUAGUG